UGCUGGAAAUUUCAGGGAACAGUUGU
This 26-nucleotide non-coding RNA is filed under the name Mus musculus (house mouse). The record is from RNAcentral. Lineage: Eukaryota; Metazoa; Chordata; Mammalia; Rodentia; Muridae.